Molecule: long non-coding RNA, 537 nt
Organism: Oxyura jamaicensis (ruddy duck)
Lineage: Eukaryota; Metazoa; Chordata; Aves; Anseriformes; Anatidae
Exons: 3
Source: RefSeq, a predicted model, not a curated record
GAAAAUUAGCAGAGGAGUCAGCUUUAAGAGGCGUCUCAUAUGGGUUCAGCUGGCAGCCAGUCAGCUGCUGGGUAAAAUCCACAGGGUCUCACCAAACCUCGAAUUAGCUGUUUUCAGUGACAGAUUUGGAACUACCCUCUGAUGGAUUUUGAAUACUCUACAUUGCUUGAUUAUUUAUGUAUUGCAAACUACAAGGCAGGAAAAGAAAUAUGCAUAUAGAGUAACCUAAAUUACCAUCAGGAUUAAAAGAAGCAUGAGAGAGAGGGAUAGAAAGGAAGAUGCUUUCAUAGUCCACAGCACCAGCCUUCACUUGUGGUGGCUGAAGAAAUUAGGUCUGCCUGAAUUACUGUUGAAAUUAGAUGGCAGAAAUACAUGUAAUUAUUCUUUAAAUGUCCUGUAUGUCAUGGGAAACCUUGAAAGAAAGAACUUCAGGCAUCUGAAUUGAGCCAGAGCUGGAUCUACUGAAAAUUAAGGGACAGGUGAAACUUGAGGCCUGCCACCCCAGGGGAGGUAUUCAGGAAAAACAGGUGACUGGUG